GACGAACGCUGGCGGCGUGCUUAACACAUGCAAGUCGAACGGAAAGGCCCUGCUUUUGUGGGGUGCUCGAGUGGCGAACGGGUGAGUAACACGUGAGUAACCUGCCCUUGACUUUGGGAUAACUUCAGGAAACUGGGGCUAAUACCGGAUAGGAGCUCCUGCUGCAUGGUGGGGGUUGGAAAGUUUCGGCGGUUGGGGAUGGACUCGCGGCUUAUCAGCUUGUUGGUGGGGUAGUGGCUUACCAAGGCUUUGACGGGUAGCCGGCCUGAGAGGGUGACCGGCCACAUGGGGACUGAGAUAGGGCCCAGACUCCUACGGGAGGCAGCAGUGGGGAAUAUUGCACAAUGGGCGGAAGCCUGAUGCAGCAACGCCGCGUGCGGGAUGACGGCCUUCGGGUUGUAAACCGCUUUCGCCUGUGACGAAGCGUGAGUGACGGUAAUGGGUAAAGAAGCACCGGCUAACUACGUG
This 468-nucleotide ribosomal RNA is filed under the name uncultured bacterium. RNAcentral's name for it is "partial 16S ribosomal RNA". It matches the Rfam family "Bacterial small subunit ribosomal RNA", at positions 28 to 507 of the family's 1533-position model. The record is from RNAcentral.